This 305-nucleotide ribosomal RNA is filed under the name uncultured bacterium. Its description in RNAcentral is "bacterial SSU rRNA". It matches the Rfam family "Bacterial small subunit ribosomal RNA", at positions 336 to 636 of the family's 1533-position model. The record is from RNAcentral.
UUCCUACGGGGCGCAGCAGUGAGGAAUAUUGGUCAAUGGGCGCGAGCCUGAACCAGCCAAGUCGCGUGAGGGAUGACGGUCCUACGGAUUGUAAACCUCUUUUGCCGGGGAGCAAGCGUGCGUUCGUGAACGCGCGUCGAGAGUACCCGGAGAAAAAGCAUCGGCUAACUCCGUGCCAGCAGCCGCGGUAAUACGGAGGAUGCGAGCGUUAUCCGGAUUUAUUGGGUUUAAAGGGUGCGUAGGUGGCAUAGUAAGUAGCUAGUGAAAUCUGGUGGCUCAACCAUUCAGACUAUUAGCUAAACUGC